RNAcentral lists this long non-coding RNA (985 nucleotides) under Salvia miltiorrhiza (redroot sage). RNAcentral describes it as "long non-coding RNA (SMIL_LNC009216)". The record is from RNAcentral. Lineage: Eukaryota; Viridiplantae; Streptophyta; Magnoliopsida; Lamiales; Lamiaceae.
UGAAGGUAGCAUUGCCCUGGAGGCCCGGGAACAAUGAAGGUGGCAUCUCAGUGGUGAGAGCAGCGGAGUCGAACUCCCUUUCUAGGUUGCGGUGUGCAUCUGAUGAUCCCAUGGUACCUACACAUAAACAGAGUGAGAAACCAUUCUAACGACGAAAGAAUAAACCCCUAUUUACCGAUUGGAGUCCCAAUGUAAGAAAUCCAAUAAGAAAUCCCGGCUUCCGGUGCAGAGACCGUUAAAAAAUUCCCUUCCAAGUAAUUCUACACUCGGGGAAAUAAACCCAGAGUAUAGAUUGAGAAAACGGGGCCCUCAAUAAAACUUCCACAGACGCAAAAUACCCAGGGAUAAAUACAAGCAGAGCUACCACCAGAAGAUAUGUUAGCACGAUUGCAUUAAACAUAAUAAGAAAAGGAAUUAUGUAAGAGACGAAGCUAAUAAUUUCGAAGAUUAGUCAAGGAAAACAUGGAGAAGCAUGAAUAAUCGUUUCCCAUAAGUGAAGAUCAUUCACAAAACAACAAUAUGGAUCUCACCAUAAUUAAGACAAAGUGUUUAAUCAUCAUAUUAUUGAGGUAAAACUCUUGUGUCAACGACAAUAAACACUCUCGACAUCGACGAUUAACCACAAAAACCCAUAAAUCCACAACAAAGAACUCCAAUACAUCAGGAUCAAAGCAUAACCUCCCAAUUCAAUCACCGAAAUCGAAGAUUAACCACGAAAAUCAUGGAAAACGCCCAUAAACCCCCUCCCUUAAACGAAAAGCAUCUAUAAACCCCCAGCACAAAGCCAACAUAACAAAAACAGGGCAGCAACUCCGAUCCAACGGUAUAGAACGAAGAUUUGUCAUUCAGGCAAAUGAAGUAACGGUAAUUAUCAACCUUAAACGAAGAAGACCCACAGAUUUAACCACACGAGCCCAAGCACAACGAAGACUAACCAUAGAAACCAUGGAAACACUGAUAAACAUCCUUCUUAAAUGAAAAAUAC